This 253-nucleotide ribosomal RNA is filed under the name uncultured bacterium. RNAcentral's name for it is "partial 16S ribosomal RNA". It matches the Rfam family "Bacterial small subunit ribosomal RNA", at positions 524 to 776 of the family's 1533-position model. The record is from RNAcentral.
UACGUAGGGUGCAAGCGUUAAUCGGAAUUACUGGGCGUAAAGCGUGCGCAGGCGGUUCUGUAAGACAGAGGUGAAAUCCCCGGGCUUAACCUGGGAACUGCCUUUGUGACUGCAGAGCUUGAGUGCGGCAGAGGGGGAUGGAAUUCCGCGUGUAGCAGUGAAAUGCGUAGAUAUGCGGAGGAACACCGAUGGCGAAGGCAAUCCCCUGGGCCUGCACUGACGCUCAUGCACGAAAGCGUGGGGAGCAAACAGG